RNAcentral lists this ribosomal RNA (776 nucleotides) under uncultured bacterium. Its description in RNAcentral is "bacterial SSU rRNA". It matches the Rfam family "Bacterial small subunit ribosomal RNA", at positions 105 to 895 of the family's 1533-position model. The record is from RNAcentral.
GGUGAGUAACGCGUUGGUGACCUGCCCCGAAGCGGGGGAUAACAGCUCGAAAGGGCUGCUAAUACCCCAUGUGGUGUCACAGGUUAGAGGCUGUGGCACUAAAGGAGCGAUCCGCUUUGGGAGGGGCCUGCGUCCCAUCAGCUAGUUGGUAGGGUAAAGGCCUACCAAGGCCGAGACGGGUAGGGGGCCUGAGAGGGUGACCCCCCACAAUGGAACUGAAACACGGUCCAUACACCUACGGGUGGCAGCAGUAGGGAAUAUUGCACAAUGGGCGAAAGCCUGAUGCAGCAACGCCGCGUGUGCGAUGAAGGCCUUCGGGUUGUAAAGCACUUUUCGGGGAGAUGAGGAAGGACAGUAUCCCGGAAUAAGGCUCGGCUAACUACGUGCCAGCAGCCGCGGUAAAACGUAGGAGCCAAGCGUUAUCCGAAUUUACUGGGCGUAAAGCGCGUGUAGGCGGCGCGGAAAGUUGGAUGUGAAAGCUCCUGGCUCAACUGGGAGAGGACGUUCAGAACUACCGAGCUAGAGGGCGACAGAGGGAGGUGGAAUUCCCGGUGUAGUGGUGAAAUGCGUAGAUAUCGGGAGGAACACCAGUGGCGAAGGCGGCCUCCUGGGUCGCACCUGACGCUCAGACGCGAAAGCUAGGGUAGCGAACGGGAUUAGAAACCCCGGUAGUCCUAGCCGUAAACGAUGUAGACUGGGUGUUGGUGGUGUAAGAGCCAUCAGUGCCGAAGCCAACGCGAUAAGUCUACCGCCUGGGGACUACCGGCCGCAAGGUU